Molecule: ribosomal RNA, 209 nt
Filed under: uncultured bacterium
Lineage: Bacteria
Description: partial 16S ribosomal RNA
Rfam family: Bacterial small subunit ribosomal RNA
Source: RNAcentral
UACGGAGGGUGCGAGCGUUGUCCGGAAUCACUGGGCGUAAAGGGCGCGUAGGUGGCGGAGCAAGUCAACGGUGAAAGCUCGACGCUCAACGUCGAGUCGGCCGUCGAGACUGCUUUGCUCGAGCACUGUAGAGGCAGAUGGAAUUCCGGGUGUAGCGGUGGAAUGCGUAGAGAUCCGGAAGAACACCGGUGGCGAAGGCGGUCGCUGGG